This 764-nucleotide long non-coding RNA is filed under the name Lynx pardinus (Iberian lynx). Lineage: Eukaryota; Metazoa; Chordata; Mammalia; Carnivora; Felidae. The record is from RNAcentral.
GUUCGGAAUCGCAGGCAAUGGAGCCGAGCCCCUCGUCUCCGGUUAGUACUUCCUUCCCCGCGCGGGACUCUCUCCCCCCACCCACGGGGCCAUCGUGGGUGCUGCUACCUGUCGUCCGCGCCCGCCGCUCACAGGCCUCCUGCGGCAUCCCCGCCGGCAGCCUGGCCUUGUUUGCUUGCUGUCCCGAGCAGCGUAGCUAGUGUGCCUGGGGCGCUCAAGCGGCGAGGGGAGGGAGAGGACACGCAGGGGACAGGCUCUUGUGCCCGAGUGGAACCUACGAGCGCGGACACCCACGCGUGGCGGCCAGCGCUGAAGGUAACUCUAUACCCUCUCCCCCCAGCUCUUUCCCGGCGACGUGCUGUCCCUGCUGGAGACCUGGAUGCCCCUCUCGCCCCUGGAGUGGCCACCGGCCUGAGUCGAAGUGACGACGUACAAUUGGCGCCCUGUGAGCAUCGAGGCCCUUUUGGCUUUCAGCACCUUCAAAACGGCCCCUCUCCAGACUCCCUUUCCUAGGAGAGGGCACCUGCGAUACUGGCAUGGGCAUUCCUGAGAGCGAGAGCCCGUCCCCACCCAAGACAACUCUCCCCAGCCCCUCCGGCAAUGGAGGAACCCAUAGGUUGACCCUUGGAGGCAGGCAGGGGGCGCCUGCCUACUAUGUAUUUAUUUAUUUGUGAAUAAACUGUGCUGGUGUCAGUUGACCGUUUCUUCUUCCUUCGCAUGGACACAAAGCUCCCUCCCCUUCUCCAAAGAAGAACCUAGGAGAA